CAUUUGAAUGCAUGUGCUGGUGUUGAUCUUCCAAACAUUAGUUAUUUUGCAUAAAUAGUCUUUCAUUAAGGAGCUUUUGCAUACUUUCUUUUGAUGAAAGUACUGCUGCGGGUCUUUAUAUUCUUCUUCGAGCAGCUGACCGGUUUGCUGCAAACUAUAACAAAUUUUCUGGCCAAUAUGAUGGUGAUACGGAUGAGGAUAUAUUCCAACUGAAAACUACAACUGUUGGCCUACUCAACGACCUUGGUUGCAAUGGCUUCACCUUAUCAGAAGACCUUAUUAAUGAGAUGUCUCAAUAUGAUGCUUCAGAGCUUCAUGCUAUAGCUUCCUUCGUUGGAGAAGUUGCAUCACAAGAAGUGAUCAAGCUCAUCACUAGACAAUUCAUUCCCAUGUCUGGGAAUUUCAUCUUUAACGGCGUAGAUCACAAGUCUCAACUGUUGUUGUUGUAGUCUCCGAAUUUAUAG
Capsicum annuum is the source of this 464-nucleotide long non-coding RNA. RefSeq lists it as uncharacterized. The record is from RefSeq and is a predicted model, not a curated record. Lineage: Eukaryota; Viridiplantae; Streptophyta; Magnoliopsida; Solanales; Solanaceae. The transcript is spliced from 3 exons.